GUGGCAGCAGAGUUGGAACGGGAUAGGUAGUUCCCCGUUUCCAGGACCCCAGACGGCCUGCUGGGACAGUGUAUAUGAGUCCGGAAUGGGCUGGACCAGGGUCAGGCUAGCCCAGACUUCAGGACAGGACCUUCGGGCCUCUAAAAAAAAAGGAUCAAAGAACUGAAACUCACCAGAUCACCUCACCAGAUGCUAGACCCCUCAUUCACCAUGUUUGCUUCCUUGCCUCUCCCUAGUUCUUAUUUUCUUACACAUUGUUACAUUUCUUCCCUGCUAUAUCAACCCCUAGUUCUAGUCAGUCAUGGAGAUGGAUUUGAGACUGAUCUCCCAUCCCCUCAGCUGCAC
RNAcentral lists this long non-coding RNA (345 nucleotides) under Pan troglodytes (chimpanzee). Its description in RNAcentral is "long non-coding RNA NONPTRT007162". The record is from RNAcentral. Lineage: Eukaryota; Metazoa; Chordata; Mammalia; Primates; Hominidae.